CCAGACUCCUACGGGAGGCAGCAGUGGGGAAUCUUCCGCAAUGGACGAAAGUCUGACGGAGCAACGCCGCGUGAGUGAUGACGGCCUUCGGGUUGUAAAGCUCUGUUAAUCGGGACGAAAGGCCUUCUUGCGAAUAGUGAGAAGGAUUGACGGUACCGGAAUAGAAAGCCACGGCUAACUACGUGCCAGCAGCCGCGGUAAUACGUAGGUGGCAAGCGUUGUCCGGAAUUAUUGGGCGUAAAGCGCGCGCAGGCGGAUAGGUCAGUCUGUCUUAAAAGUUCGGGGCUUAACCCCGUGAUGGGAUGGAAACUGCCAAUCUAGAGUAUCGGAGAGGAAAGUGGAAUUCCUAGUGUAGCGGUGAAAUGCGUAGAUAUUAGGAAGAACACCAGUGGCGAAGGCGACUUUCUGGACGAAAACUGACGCUGAGGCGCGAAAGCCAGGGGAGCGAACGGGAUUAGAUACCCCGGUAGUCCUGGCCGUAAACGAUGGGUACUAGGUGUAGGAGGUAUCGACCCCUUCUGUGCCGGAGUUAACGCAAUAAGUACCCCGCCUGGGGAGUACGACCGCAAGGUUGAAACUCAAAGGAAUUGACGGGGGCCCGCACAAGAAGGGCGAAUUCC
RNAcentral lists this ribosomal RNA (620 nucleotides) under uncultured bacterium. RNAcentral's name for it is "bacterial SSU rRNA". It matches the Rfam family "Bacterial small subunit ribosomal RNA", at positions 331 to 942 of the family's 1533-position model. The record is from RNAcentral.